UCUCCGUUGGUGAACCAGCGGAGGGAUCAUUACCGAGUUUACAAACUCCCAAACCCUUUGUGAACCUUACCAUAUUGUUGCUUCGGCGGGACCGCCCCGGCGCCUUCGGGCCCGGAACCAGGCGCCCGCCGGAGGCCCCAAACUCUUGUCUUUUAGUGUAUUUCUGAGUGGCAUAAGCAAAUAAAUCAAAACUUUCAGCAACGGAUCUCUUGGUUCUG
Molecule: unclassified non-coding RNA, 218 nt
Filed under: root metagenome
Description: partial contains small subunit ribosomal RNA, internal transcribed spacer 1, and 5.8S ribosomal RNA
Source: RNAcentral